Molecule: long non-coding RNA, 1041 nt
Filed under: Homo sapiens (human)
Lineage: Eukaryota; Metazoa; Chordata; Mammalia; Primates; Hominidae
Description: HSALNT0367341
Source: RNAcentral
CAGCACUGCUGGUGUGAAUGCCUGUGAUGGAGAGGGAAUGCUGUAUUCUGGCUCUCUGUGCCUCCGGGCUGGUGGGAAAACGGCCAGACCCUCCACUGCAGCAGAUUCAUGCAGGGUGAUUCGGAGCCACUAAAAUGUAAAGAAAGACUGUUUGUUUUCCCAGCUCAGUUUUCAGAGAGAAUCCUGCAAUAUGUCCUUGGAAGGUCUCUGCUGAAAAUUUCAAUGCCUCCUGCAAAAAGAAGGAAGAGAAAGAAAAGGAGAAAACAGAGGCAGAGGAUCUUUCCCUAGAAGAGAUUCUGUGAAACGCUCCCUCUUAUGGAAACACACAUAAAGUCUCUCUCUUGCCUGUCUCCCGUUGAAGAUCAACCAGUUCUCCUGCCAGGUUUGAGGACCCGGGCUCAGGCCCCGGCAGGUAUCCGGGAUGGUCCCUCUCCCUAACCCGGGCAAGGAGCAUCGGUGACCGCUGCAAGCCCUCGGCAGCAUCCCAGCUUGGCAGCCCCUCCCCCUGGCCUCCCCAACCCGGCGCCCUGGGGAGGAUGGGGCACUUACAGGCGGCGGCUGAGACCCUCCACCGAGCGCCCGCAGGAGGGCACCGCGUAGCUCAGCAGGAACACCGCGACGCUCCACUGCUGAACCAGUCUCCGCUGCAUCGUCUCCGCUCGCGCUCGGGACCUGCAACAGAAGGGAAUGGGACCCGAGUGUCAGUCUGGACUCUCCAUCUCCCCGCACUACUCCGCUCCCCCUUUUUAGCCCGCUCUCAAAAAGCCUCUUCAACAUCAAGGGCAUCUCCCAAGUUGAAAAGAAAAAAAAUUUCUCUGGAGCCUCUCAGCACUUACUUAUUUAGCAACCGGCUACUCCAACUGUGCUUUCUCCAAACCACACAGCCAGAAAGAGCAAAAAGGGAAAAAAGAAACAAAUCAGAGGCGCUUCCUCUGAAAUAAUAGCGAAAAUAAAAUGGUUUUAUAUAUGCAUCAAUGAUAAGUAGUGUGUUUACACGUCUCCCAUAGCAAUGUCUAAUUAAUCUGGCCAGCAGUUCUCCUG